This 1497-nucleotide ribosomal RNA is filed under the name Triticum aestivum (bread wheat). Its description in RNAcentral is "partial small subunit ribosomal RNA". The record is from RNAcentral. Lineage: Eukaryota; Viridiplantae; Streptophyta; Magnoliopsida; Poales; Poaceae.
AUGUACUACGUCGCUGCUACCUCUCCCAAGUGCAUAUAUAGCGCAUCCGAAGCACGAACGCUCGAAGCAGUGCGACAGCGUACGCACCCCACACCAAAGCCGGCCAUGGUGACCUUCACGGCGCGCCGGAGCGAGCCGGAGCUGCUGCCCCCGGCACGGGCGACUGCGCGGGAGACCAAGGCCCUGUCGGACCUCGACGACCAGCGCACGCUGCGCUACUACGAGACGGUGAUCGGCUUCUUCCGCAGCAACGACCUCGCCGGCAGGCCGGACGACCCGGUUAAGGCCAUCCGGGCGGCGUUGAGGGAGGCGCUGGUGUACUACUACCCGAUCGCCGGCCGGCUCAGGGAGGACGGCGCAGGGAGGCUGGUCGUGGACUGCACGGCCGAGGGGGUGGUGUUCGUGGAGGCCUACGUGGACGCGCGCCUGGAGGAGUUCGGCGAGCCGCUGCUGCCGCCGUACCCUUGCGUGGAGGAAUUACUGUGCCAUGUCGGCGACACCAGGGCCGUCGUUGGCAAGCCUUUGCUCUUCAUGCAGGUGACACGACUCAAAUGCGGAGGGUUCGUCCUGGGUUUUCACAUUUGCCAUAACCUCGCCGACGGUUUCGGCAUGGCUCAGUUCAUCAAAGCUGUGUCCGACAUAGCACGUGGAGAAGCGGCCCCGACCAUUUUACCCGUGUGGGAAAGGGAGCUGCUAACAUCACGCGGCUUAUUACCUCCAGUCAACCGACUCUACCCAGUGCACCAACCACCAGUGAACGGCUCAGGGAGCGCAGCUCGCGACAUGAUGCUCUCGGUUCCGCCGGAGAGCAUGGUCGCCAAGUACUUCCUCUUCGGGCCAAGGGAGGUAUCAGCCCUACGAGACCGCAUACCGGCGGGCCAUCCCGCCCGCUCCGCCACGAUCUUCGAGCUGGUGACCGCCGUGAUGUGGCGGUGCCGCACGGUCGCCCUCGGGUACGAGCCCGGCCAGCGGGUGCGCCUCAUGACCACCAUGAACGCCCGCGGGAGGUGGAACAACCACACCCCCAUCCCGUGGGGGUACUACGGCAACGCGCACGUCUCCCCCAUAGCGGAGGUCGUCGUCGGCGAGCUCCGCGGGCAGCCGCUCGCCGACACGGUGGAACUCGUGCGCGAGACCAAGCGCGGCAUGACCAAGGAGCGCAUGGAGUCGAUGGUGGAGGCGGUGGCGUUGCUGCGGGAGUGGCCGCCUUCCACCAUGGACAGGAUAUACGAGGUAUCGGAUGUGAGAUGGAUGGCGGUGAACGUGUUGGACUUCGGGUGGGCUGACCUGGCCGGCGGUGGUAUUCCGUUGGCCGGGGAUCUCACUUCCAAGCUAGGGAGCGAUCACAUGUGGUGCAGGAAUGAGAACGGCGAGGUCUCGACCGUGGUGUCAAUGCUGCUGCCGAGGGCGGCCAUGGACAGGUUUACGGAGGAGAUCGCGGUAUGGCUGAGCCACAAAGAUGACGAGAAGAAUUUAGCAAUCAUGAGCUCACUCUAG